GGGAAUUUAGCUCAGUGGUUCUGCACGUGCCUUGUAAGCACAAGGACCUGAGUUCGAUCCCCAGUACCCCCC
RNAcentral lists this transfer RNA (72 nucleotides) under Fukomys damarensis (Damara mole-rat). It matches the Rfam family "tRNA". Rfam says of the family: Transfer RNA (tRNA) molecules are approximately 80 nucleotides in length. Lineage: Eukaryota; Metazoa; Chordata; Mammalia; Rodentia; Bathyergidae. The record is from Rfam by way of RNAcentral.